RNAcentral lists this small RNA (3353 nucleotides) under Malus domestica (apple). RNAcentral's name for it is "sRNA MD07G0040200". Lineage: Eukaryota; Viridiplantae; Streptophyta; Magnoliopsida; Rosales; Rosaceae. The record is from RNAcentral.
GGAACAGCUGCUCCCUACCACACUUCACGGUCUCGAAAUCUCUGGAGUGAAUAGGCUGAAAUCUUUGAAGGGAAAGGGACUUCAACACCUCAAUUGUCUCCAAGAGCUCGAAAUUACAAGCUGUCGUCGUCUCAAAUUCCUGCCAAAAGAGGGUUUUCCGGCAUCGCUCUCUUUUCUGAGCAUCAAAAAAUGUCCUUCUCUGAGGAAGAGGUGUCGGGAGAAGACGGGAGAAGAGUGGAGCAAGAUAGCUCACAUUCCUUGCAUCGAGAUAGAUGAUCAAGUCAUCAUUUGAGAUCUCAAAGUCAAAGUCAGAUAGCAAACUGUGCUGUAAAGUUUGAAUUACCUAAGUCCAUUGCUUCCAUCAAUUAGUUGUCUAUGAAUGGUUCCCUUGCAGUGUGACAUGUAUAUGAUUCUCCUUCAAUUGGAUAGAUCUGUUUUGGUACAUACACAGCUGAUGAAGUGAGAACGGGCGACGAUGAUCACAAAACAAAAAUGAGAGCAAGUUUCUUUGGAGCACUGCCCUCAUGCUUGCGCUUGUUGGAAGUUAGUACAUUAUGUUACAAGAGCAGGAUUAUUCAUAUAUGUUGAGCUGGGGUAUGGAAAAGGAAAGCACUUGCUUUGGCAUCCUAUCGAAACGGAUAAGAGAAGAAACAUGAUUUUCAUAAUUUGAUGUGGAAAUGAAGUGGGAGAACGCAUUGAUCUGCAGCCUAUGAGCAUCUUAUUCUCUGGAAGGGUUCCAAAGGAACUGAGAGAUUACAGCAGUUUGCUCUACCAUUGGGGAUGUUAUGAGCUAUCCCAGGACAAAAGGCAGAGAUGGUGCUGCUGCUAUGAGCAAUAAGGAUGUCAGUGCCAAGGCAGUCAGAAAGCAUCGUAAAGUCAAGGAAUGGCCCGGGAAUAUUGAGACUCAAGCGGUUGAUUUUGGCAGCAGAGAUGGCAAUGUGUGCUGAUUCACCUGGCAAACAAGGGAAGGAGAAUGAGCUUGAUCAGAGCGAAGAUGUGAAGUGCUCUGAUGCAGCAAAACAGGACGAGUUGAUGGAAAUUUGUAAUGAAGCAGAGAUGGUGGUGCUGCUGUGAAUGAGAAUGAUGCCAAGGGCAAGGGCAAGGGCAAGGCUGCAAGAGGGUUUCGCAGGGUCCAGGAAUGUCGCAUUUAGAGCAGAGAGGCUGAUCUUGAGCUUCCCCUACCUCAAGGCACCAUUAGUUACUGAGAAUGUGGGAAAUUGUCUCCAAUUUUUGAAGUUCUGUGAAACUUUUUGAGAGUCCAAAGCUGAAUCUGUUCUUCGAGAACAAUUGCGUGGGGGAAGUGGACAAAGUGGAUGGCCUGGACAGUACUCCAGUGUUCAUACAGGAGAGAGAGGCCAGGCCAUUAGUGGAGUGGGGUGGGGUUUGCAACGACUUGUCUUCCUUCAAACAUUUGGGAUCACUGGUUGCAAGGAUCUGUUGGAGAUGUUGCUCAAGGAACAGCUACUCCCUUCCACUCUUACACUCUCCAAUCUAUGGAAUAAAAGUUCUGAAAUCUUUGGAGUGAAAGGGACUUCAACACCUCACUUGUCUUCGAAAGCUCAAAAUUAGAAGCUGUGAUAAUCUCGAAUUCCUGCCAAAAGAUGGUUUGCCGGCAUUACUUUCUUUUCUGAGAAUCAAGUGCUGUCCUUCUCCGAGGAUGAGGUGUCAGGAGAAGACGGGAGAAGAGUGGAGCCAGAUAGCUCACAUACCUUGCAUACAAAUAGAUGACGAAGUCAUCGUUUGAGAUCUCAAGUCAAAUUUAGGGCAUCCUUCUGAGACGAGGUAUGACAAGAAACAAGCAUUUUCUUAAUUUGAUGAUGAACGAGCAAAACCAUGUGAAGUUGCAUACUCAAGGAUUUUGAAUUCGAAGAAUGGUGAAAGAAAAGCACAUGGAUCUCCUUUUGUUUCUGAGUUCCUUGCAUGAAUAUGCUGCACAUUUUGGAUGAAAUGGUUUUCGGAAUGAAAAGAUGAUCAACUCAUGUGCACAGGUGGCCAUAUCCACAUCAAUAUGAAUUUCACUAUGGGAGUUGUUUAGUCAAUAUUUAGGAAUAAGCAAUUCAGGAAAACUGGUUCCAACAUUUUCUUAUAUUUUUGGAUCUUGUGAACUGUUGACUGCGAAAUUCAACUAUGAUCUGAGUGAGGUCAAAAUUAUGUCACUAACAUGUUUGUUGGCUUUACUGGUGCAGAGAGCAAACUGUGGAAUUGUAAAGAUAGGAUUAUAGGAUUAUCUAAGGCCAACAAUUUUAACAUCCAUCAAUUAGUUGUCCAGGAAUGGUUCUCCUGCUGUUUGGCGUGAAUAUGAUGCUCCUUCAAUUGGAUAGCUGUGGAAGUGAGAACGGGGUGACAAUGACCAGGUUCAGGUUUCCUUGGAGCACUACCCUUAUGCUUGCGAUUAUUGGAAGUCAGCAAAUUAUGUUACUAGAACAGGUGGGUGGUUGCUGCACUACACUUUUAACAGGAACUAUUUCUUAUGUUGGACACCGCAGAUGAGCUGUAAGCCUGAAUAUCAUGUAGAGCUGGGGUAUGGAAAAGGAAAGCACUUGUGUUGGCAUAUCGAAAUGGAUAUGGGAAGAAACAGGAUUUCACAAUUUGAUGUGGAGGCGAAGAGGGAGAAGAAUCGAUCUGGGGGUAAUGCUCUUGUGAACGUCUUAUUCGCCAGAGAGUGAUCAAUUGGAACUGAGAGAUCACAGCAUUUUGCUCUACCUAGGGUCGUCCAUUACGGAGGCAACCAUCUGAUUCAUUAAAAUUUAGGUGGAGGAUGGUCAGAGCAGGCUGUCAAAUGUUAGAAUUUUUCUUGGCAAGAACGGGCCACGAGCCAGAGGCCUUCCAAAACUCGGUUUUCAAACAACGAAGAAAACUUGCAGGUUCCCAUCCUCCUGAAAGCAAUGAAGAAAACGCGCAGGUUUCCUAGAACUUCUGAAAGCAUCGAAGAAAACGCGCAGGCUUCCCAGAACGUCUGAAAGCAUCGAAGAAAACAUGUAGCUCAGUCCUAAGGCUAAUUAAGUUUUUAGGCAUCAGAAGACAAAGUAGGUUUACAUCCAAGUUACAAGUAUUUGGCUGCCCCAGCUUCUGCAUAAAACUCCUAUAUGGGGAAGUCGUUUCUGCUUCGGAUUUCUCUGUAUGGCACUGCUGAUUCGGAGGGGGAAGUGAUCUUAAGAAGCCGGCCAGCUGCCUCAGACAAAGAAGUGUGGUUUUAAACUUAUGAAUAGUGUGCAGAAGGAGAAAACGCAUGUGCGAAAAGUAUUUUUCUUGUUUUUGUUGUAAUAUCUGAAGACAUUUUGGUAUCAACUUUCUUCUUAAGUUAAUGCGUUUCGAUGUACUUUCAUCCGUGUAGCAUAUUACACAGCAGUUUU